ACGCUAGCUAUAGGCUUAACACAUGCAAGUCGAGGGGAAACGGCAUUAUGUGCUUGCACAUUUUGGACGUCGACCGGCGCACGGGUGAGUAUCGCGUAUCCAACCUGCCCUUUACUUGGGGAUACCCCGUUGAAAGACGGCCUAAUACCCGAUGUAAUUCAUUGAUGGCAUCAGAUAUGAAUAAAAGAUUUAUCGGUAAAGGAUGGGGAUGCGUCUGAUUAGCUUGUUGGUGAGGUAAAGGCUCACCAAGGCAACGAUCAGUAGGGGUUCUGAGAGGAAGGUCCCCCACAUUGGAACUGAGACACGGUCCAAACUCCUACGGGAGGCAGCAGUGAGGAAUAUUGGUCAAUGGGCGCAAGCCUGAACCAGCCAAGUAGCGUGCAGGAAGACGGCCCUAUGGGUUGUAAACUGCUUUUAUACGAGAAUAAUUUGAUGCACGUGUUCGUUAUUGCAUGUAUCGUAUGAAUAAGGACCGGCUAAUUCCGUGCCAGCAGCCGCGGUAAUACGGAAGGUCCAGGCGUUAUCCGGAUUUAUUGGGUUUAAAGGGGGUGUAGGCGGUUUGUUAAGCGUGUUGUGAAAUUUAGGUGCUCAACAUUUAACUUGCAGCGCGAACUGUCAGACUUGAGUACACGCAACGUAUGCGGAAUUCAUGGUGUAGCGGUGAGAUGCUUAGAUAUCAUGAAGAACUCCGAUUGCGAAGGCAGCAUACGGGAGUGUAACUGACGCUUAAGCUCGAAGGUGCGGGUAUCGAACAGGAUUAGAUACCCUGGUAGUCCGCACAGUAAACGAUGGAUGCCCGCUGUUAGCGCCUGGCGUUAGCGGCUAAGCGAAAGCAUUAAGCAUCCCACCUGGGGAGUACGCCGGCAACGGUGAAACUCAAAGGAAUUGACGGGGGCCCGCACAAGCGGAGGAACAUGUG
This 919-nucleotide ribosomal RNA is filed under the name uncultured bacterium. RNAcentral's name for it is "bacterial SSU rRNA". It matches the Rfam family "Bacterial small subunit ribosomal RNA", at positions 33 to 943 of the family's 1533-position model. The record is from RNAcentral.